AGUGAACGCUGGCGGUAGGCCUAACACAUGCAAGUCGAACGGCAGCACAGUAAGAGCUUGCUCUUACGGGUGGCGAGUGGCGGACGGGUAAGGAAUACAUCGGAAUCUACUUUUUCGUGGGGGAUAACGUAGGGAAACUUACGCUAAUACCGCAUACGACCUACGGGUGAAAGCAGGGGAUCUUCGGACCUUGCGCGAUUGAAUGAGCCGAUGUCGGAUUAGCUAGUUGGCGGGGUAAAGGCCCACCAAGGCGACGAUCCGUAGCUGGUCUGAGAGGAUGAUCAGCCACACUGGAACUGAGACACGGUCCACACUCCUACGGGAGGCAGCAGUGGGGAAUAUUGGACAAUGGGCGCAAGCCUGAUCCAGCCAUACCGCGUGGGUGAAGAAGGCCUUCGGGUUGUAAAGCCCUUUUGUUGGGAAAGAAAAGCAGCAGGUUAAUACCCCGCUGUUCUGACGGUACCCAAAGAAUAAGCACCGGCUAACUUCGUG
Molecule: ribosomal RNA, 492 nt
Filed under: uncultured bacterium
Lineage: Bacteria
Description: partial 16S ribosomal RNA
Rfam family: Bacterial small subunit ribosomal RNA
Source: RNAcentral